This 73-nucleotide transfer RNA is filed under the name Vicugna pacos (alpaca). RNAcentral's name for it is "tRNA-Ala (AGC) (tRNA-Ala-AGC-643-1)". It matches the Rfam family "tRNA". From Rfam's summary of the family: Transfer RNA (tRNA) molecules are approximately 80 nucleotides in length. Lineage: Eukaryota; Metazoa; Chordata; Mammalia; Artiodactyla; Camelidae. The record is from RNAcentral.
GGAGGGUAUAGCUCAGUAGUAGAGUGCAUGCCUAGCAUGCAUGAGGUCCUGGGUUCAAUCCCCAGUACCUCCA